UUUGAGCCCAUGUGUGGAAGACUUAAUAUUCUUAAUUUGAUUUAGGUGCACAUUUCUCUGUGGACGGUGAUUAUCUGCCUGAGCUCAGGUUCGUUACGGGAGCGAGCCCAUGGAAAAUAGCAGUAUUAUGAGCACACCGACAGGUGCCGAUAAAGUGAGACUGCCUGCAAACUGUAUAAGCUUCGGGUUCCAUAAAACAAGGAUCUACCCUGGUAUGUGUAUAGAAUAGAAUUGAAAAGGAAGUAGAGGAGGUGAAAAACAGUUUAACUCUGUUCUCAGUAGAAUUGAUUAUUGAAAAUAUGUCGUAGUCUGAAAUCUGAGCAGACCCUGUACCUCAGAUAACUUUGAGGAAUUUUGUUAAGACUUGGUGACAUCGUGCCUCCUGAAACUCACACUGAGAACCUUCCAGAGAAGGACCUAAACGCUGCACCGUCAUCUCCUCCAUCACUCACGCAAAUUUAUCCAACGAGAAUACCAUAUGCUGAGCUGUACCCGAGAUUAAUAUGUUCGAUUAUCUCAUGACGUUACUGAAGAUCAGCCCCUCUCCAGGAUCAUUCACCCUUCAGGGAUUUAAAUUUCACAAAUGCAGUCAACAUCGAAUGAAGUCGGCCGCUUAUACUGCAGCUCCGUCAUUGUGCUUAGCAGCCCAAGUUCCUAGUUGCAAGCAACAGAAUCACUCUGCCCUUAACAAGUGGAAAUGGAACUUAUUGGAAAGACAGGGUGGAGAAACAGGUUUAGAAAGCAGGCUGGAACCAAGGAAGGUUAGGCAACAGGAACAGUCUGGCCAGGACAGUGAGCAGAGCAUAGGCCUCGGAACUGGUGCCACCAACACUACUGUUGUGAGACGGUCCAUUGCUCCCUCAGAAUGCAAAACUCACGGCUUGUGAUCGGCCAGCCCAAGUUAUGCGUCCAUGCCUUCGCCCCAAAGGGGCAGGGAGGAAGGAGCCUCAAGUUCCCUUUGGUUUCAGCAGUGGGCGGCUGCCUCCCAGCAAGACUCACGUCACCUGGGGAAUACUCCCCAAGUAAGAUGGAGGAGGUACCAGUAAAAGUUGUUCAGAAAGCCCUGACCAUCCAGAAACAUAGAAACCUGUCUCUCCAGCCCCACAACCCACGCCCCGCUACUGGUCAUGGCUCACCAAGGAGAAAGGCGGGCAGACGGAGCUGGCUGAGCGAGGUAACGUAUGGGGCAAGCAGAGGCCGGGCUGCAUAGCGCAGAGCACAACCUGGCACGAUGCAGCGUCUACAAAUCGCCAUGAAGACUUGCUGUUAUCUGUCUUCUUUAUUAUAACCGUCCUAGUGGGUAUGAAGUGGUAUCUCGCUGUGGUUUAGAUACUCAUUUCCCUAAUGGCUAAUGACACUGAGCAACUUUCCCUGUGCCUACUGGCCGUUUGCGUAUCUUCUUUGGAGAGAUGUCUAUUCAGGUACUUUGUCCAGUUCUAACUGGUUUAUCUGGGCUUGAGUUGUAAGAGUGUUUUGGUGAUUUCCGGAUACAAGCCACUUAUCAAAUAUAUGAUUUUUUUUUUCCCCCAUUCUGUGGGUUGUCUUUUCAUUUUCCUGGUGGUGGUCUUUGAAACACAAAAGUUUUUAAUUUUAAUGCAGUGCGAUUUAUCUGGUUUUUUUUUGUUGUUGUUGUUGUUGUUGUGCUUUUGAUAUCAUAUCUAAGAAUUCUUUACCUAACCCAAAAUCAUAAAGAUUGACUUCUACGUUUUCUUUUAAGAGUUUCAUAGGUUUAGCUCCUCCGUUUAGGCCUCUGAUCCACAUGGAGGUAAUUUUUGUCUCUGACAUGAGGAAGGAGGCCUGGGCCCAACUUCAUUCUUGUGCAUGUGGGUGUCCAGUUCUCCCAGCACUGUUGGUUGAAAAAUUCUCCUUUCCCCUUGAGUUGUCUGGGCAGUCGUGGAAAAAUCCACGUGAGGGUUUGUCUCUAGAUGCUCAGUUUCUGUCCAUAUCCUGGUACCACACUCUCUUCAUGACUGCAGCUUUGUACUACGCUUUGAAACCAGGAAGUUAGUCUUCCAACCUUGUUCUUUUCCAAGAUUGUUUUGGCUAUUCUGAGUCUCUUGAGUUUCCAUGUGAAUUUUAGGAUAAGCUUACCAAUUUCUGGAGAAAAAAACAAAACAAACAAAAAAACCCAUCUUGCUAGGAUUUUGAUGGGGAUUGAAUUGAAUUUGUACAUCAAUUUAGGGAAUAUUGCUAUCUUAACAAACUUAGCAACUUUUCUAGUCCACAAACAAGGGGUGUCUCUCCAUUAUUUUAGACAUUCUUGAAUUUCUUUUAGCAAUAUUCUAUAGGUGUCAGUUUACUUGUACCUUUUUGUUACAUUUAUUUCUAAGUAUUUUAUUCUUUUUGAUGCUAUUAUAGAUGAAAUUGUUUUCUUAAUUUCAUUUUUGGUUUGUUAAUUUCUAGUGUGUAGAAAUAUAAUUGAUUUUUCUAUAUUGAUCUUUACCCUGUAACUUUGCUGAACUGAUUUAUUAGUUCCAACAGUUUUUUUUGUGUGUGUGUGUGUGGAUUCUUUAGAAUUUUCUGCAUACUUUUUUUUCUGGGAAUAUCAUGUCAUCUGCAAAUAUAGUUUUACUUCUUUCUUUCCAAUCUUGAUGCUGUUUUUUUUUCUCUCUUCUCUCUCUUUCUUGCCUAAUUUUCCAGACUAGAAUCUCCAGUGCAGUGUUGAUGGAAGUGGUGAGACGGGCAUCCUUCUCGUGUUCCUGAUCUUAGGGAGAAACAUUCAGUCUUUAUCAGGCUGACGAAGACUCCUUCCAUUCCUAGUUGGUAGAGUGUUUUUAUCAUAAAGCUUUUGACUUUGUCUUUUUGACUUUGUCAAAUGCUUUUUCUGUGUCCACGAAAUGAUCUUGUGGUUUUUACAUUACAAAUAUUUGGGAUGAAUCCCUCUUGGCAUGGUAUGUAAUCCCCUUUUAUCUGUUGCUAUAUUCAGUUUGUUGAGAAUUUCCAUAUCUAUAUUCAAGAGUUAUUGGUCGAUAGUUUCGUUUCUUGUGAUGCCUUUGUCUGGAUUUAGCAUCAGGGUAAUACUUACAGAAUAAGUUGAAAAGUGUUCCCUCCUCUUCUGUGUUUUGGGAGAGUUUGUAAAGAAUUGAUAUUAAUUUUUCUUUAACUAUUUGGUAGAAUUUACUAUCUGGGCCUGGACUUUUUGGGGGGGGGGAAUUUUUUUUAAAUUAAUAAUUCAAUCUUGUUAUAGUCCUAUUCAGAGUUUCUAUUUCUUUUUAAGUCAGUUUUGAUAGUUUGUCUUUCUAGAAAUGUGUCCAUUUCACUCAAGUUAAGUAAUUGUUUGACAUACAAUUGUUCAUAGUGUUCCCUUAUAAUGUUUUUUUAUUUUUACAAGCUUUGUAGUGAUGUGUCGUCUUUCAUUCCUGGUAUCAGUCAUUUGAGUCUUCUCUCUUUUUUUCUUGGUCAGUCUAGAUAAAGCUUUAUCAAUUUUGUUAUUCUUUUCAAAGAACUAACUUUGGGGUUUUAUUGAUUUUCUCUAUUGUUUUUCUUUUCCCUGUUUCACUGAUUUCUGCUCUAAUCUUUAAUGUUUUCCUUCUGCUUGCUUUAGGUUUAGUUUGUUUAGUGAAAGUAAUUAUUAGAAUUAUUUAAUGUUUUAAAAGUAACCCCGUCUUCAAAAAACCCCCUUAGAACUAUUUAAUGUUUCUCUGUGUGAACUGAGGUAUUUAGAGAACAUCUACGUAGUAUGCUCAGUAAUAACAACAAAUGAAAAUAGGUCGUUUAACCAGUUCACAUUUUUGACUCAGACCACAUGAGUGGUGAGGGCGCUUUACCCGCAGCGAUUUCCACUUGAAAAAACAAAGCAUUGCCGUGGGUUUAUAAAAAUAUUUGGCAAUGUGUCUCCUAAGAAACAGCAGAGAACCUUCAACAUUUUUCCACUGAGAAAUUGAAGACUCAGGAAACUAGGGAAAAAAUUACAGAUUUUUAGAGAGAAAGUGUUUAGCUGACCAAUAGUAUAAGAACAGAAUAAAAUUAAUAAUUUUCAGUUGAUUUGUUAUGGUCAGGUAAGGAUUGUAUGAGGGAGAGUAGAAGAGACAACAGAGGAGAAAGUGAGAAAUAGAAACCAGGGUCAGGAGGAGAGAGUGAUAAGGAAGGGAGGGAGGAAUUGAGAAAGGAGGAGAAAGGGCAUUAGAGGGAGAGCUGGGCGGAAGGAGGGGGAAGGUAAAAUCAACAGCACACAUAUGAAUCAAUGUUUUCUGAGAUGAAAUAAAGUUCACACAGUUUUUUAUACGUUAUGCUAACCUGGGUUUUGGGGUAGACCUUAUCAGAGUGGGAGUCUACUGAUAGAGCUACCACAUAAUUCAUGCAUCAGUCAUGAACCAUCCCACACAACUCUCCUAUCACGGCAACCAAUUAUUAACUUUUCUGGAUCUGUUGGUACUAGAUGCCUCCUGAGAAGAAAUAUUCCCAACUACAGUGGUGUGAAGAAAGUAAUUUCAUUUCAUCAGAUAUUUGCUUCAGAGCUGCAUAAAACCCACAGACUACCUUCAGCCUGGUUUUGAGAAUACUUGAAACUGACACACACACACAUACACACAUACACACAUGCACACACAGUACACAUGUACACACAUACACACACAUAUACAUGCAUACAUGGACACACACAUGCACACAACCGUGCACACAUACCCACAUUCACACUACACACAUCCACGUGUGCACACACACACAUUCAUACUACACACAUCCACAUGCACACACAUGCACACAUGCAUACAAACAUGCAGGUGCACACAUUCUCACAUGCACACAUUCACACUACACACAUCUACACGCACACACGUGUACACAUGCAUACAAACAUACAGGUACACACAUACCCACAUGCACACAUUCACACUACACACAUCUACAUGCACACACGCAGACCCCUCCACACACUUACACACAAAUGAAUUUUUAUAGGUGAUUUCUACUCACCCAACCUAAGUAAUUCUCAAAGAAUGAGUUGAAAAAUUUCAGGUUUCUGAGAAGUCUAUUUGUCUAAUAAAAAGGAGUAAAAUCCUUUGAAAUGUUUAAAAUAUCUCAUUAAUAUUUAAAGGCUACCAGUGAGAUUGAAUACAAAGCAAAGGAGACAGACUCCUAGUCCUAAAAUCUGUCAGGUUUCCCAAUACCCUUUCACAGCACAGGACGUGUGCAGGCACCAUGUAGUGUGGCACCUGUUUCCAGUUUUACCAUAAUGAUAGGAUAUGUAUGUGUCUUUUUGCUUAGAAAAUAUUUUCUCCUUAAUUGUGUGGGCUUUUAAAAGCUUUAGAAAUAUAGGGCACCUUAGAAUGCCUGCCGGAAUAGGAAACCUUGCAGAAGGUUAUCUUGCUUUUUCUCUCCAGAGUAGCUGAGUUUUCCCCUGUGGUCUGACCGCGGUGGUUUUAGAAAUAACGUGUAUCCUCAGAGUGUGUGCUGUUAAGUAAUAACAACCAUACUGUAGGUGUGCUUGUCCAUCAGCCUUUGUCCAGGCCGUACCCGGGUAAAACCCAGGUAAAUAAGACUACUCAGAGACAGCGUGUUCUCAUUAACAGGAUUCUCUCUCUAAAUGAGAAAUCUGGAAACUUUAACAUUAGAAACAUAUUUAAAAUGCACACCCAUUAAUCAGUAGCCUUAAUGAAUGCCCAUAUUUCAACUUCUUUCUUUACAGACUCAAGAUCUUUUCAUUAAUUGAGAAUAAUCUCUUAGCUCAGUUCUAGCUAUUUGAAUGUCUUCUUUUCUGAUAAUUUCUCUUUCCGUCCAUUUCAAGGAUCAUUAUUAUAAUAACUGAAGUCUUUCGUCUGAUAAUUCCAAGGGCUGUGUCAUCUCAGCAUGUGGGAUUGUUGAUUUUCUUUUCCUGUGAAACCUAAUGAAUUUAUAUGGUAGAAAAUAUGUAAAAAAUGAUCUCAUCCACUCAACCACUAAUUUAUGUUUUAACAACCUUCUUAUCUCCUUUGUAAACCUUGCGUUUAAAAUUAUUGGGAAUCUUUGUUUCCCUCACUAGACAGUAAACUCCAGAGUAGCAGGGGUGAGGGAGAGCUAUCGUUUUGAUCUUUGUAUCUCCGACAUUGUCCAGUACCUGCCUUGUCGUAAAAAACAAACAAACAAACACAAACCUGUUGCAAUCGAGUCCAUUCCGACUCAUAGCGACCCUACAGGACAGCGUAGAACUGCCCCAUAGGGUUUCCAAGGAGUGGCUGUUGGAUUCGAACUGCUGACCUUUUGGUUAGCAGCCAAGCUCUUAGCCACUGCACCACCAGGACUGCACCUUGUCAUAAAUGGGCACCCAAUAAAUACUUUUGUAUGAAAGAAAAACCAAGAUUAAUUUGAAAAGCAAUUUUCUGAGUGCUUAUUAACAAAUAUGAAGGAGCCCUAGUGGCGCAGUGGUUAAGAGCUUAGCCGCAAAACUGAAAGGUUGGUGGUUCCAACCACCAGUGUUGCCCACUCGGUCUCGUAUACUUGAUUCAACUAAGAAGCACGUUCCUCACAUGUGUUAUUGUUUGUUUUAAAGGUCUGUCUAAUCUUUGGCUGAAAGGCCCACUUUGCGAGUGGCUUCAGUUCUCGGUUAAGGAACAACAUCUUUUACUUAAAAAAAAAAAAAGAGAUGGUGGUUGAGACUGCUGCCAUGUUAAGUAUGCAAUUGUCAUCGUAUGUGAGGAGAGGAGUGGGUUAGUGGAUAUGGAUAGAAACAGCUCCAGGAGAAGCCUUUGGGCUCUGACUGGGAAAUGGGAUUCCUAACAUUCAGCAAGAGCGGGGGAAAUGCCUCACUCUUCUUUCUCCAUCUGUUCUGUGGUCCCCGGGCAGUCCUGCAAUAGCAGUGGUCCAGCAGAGGCCACAGGUGCUAAAACACUGAUGGAGGAGAUACCUCCUCUCUGACAGAAGGAACCGAAGUCCCAAGAGGGUGGGGCAAGCCCCUGUUAUAUCAUUUCUGUCUCUCCUCCAGAAGCUUCGCCCUGAUGCAGGUGCAGUCAUGAGAAAUGGCAGCAGUGUGGAGUAGUUGAAGCUAGAUCUUCCUGACAGGAGAACUAGACAGGGAAUCCUAAGGAAUCAGCUGGACUCUAUGGAGAAGAAUUGGGCAUCAGGAUUGGAGGAAGAUUCAUUGACAACCUGCGUUGUGCAGAUGACACAGCCUUGCUUGCUGAAAGUAAAGAGGACUUGAAGCACUUACAAAGACUACAGCCUUCAGUAUGGAUUACACCUCAACAUAAAGAAAAUAAAAAUCCUCACAACUGGACCAAUGGGCAACAUCAAGAUAAACGGAGAAAAGAUUAAAGUUGUCAAGGAUUUCAUUUUACUUAGAUCCACAAUCAACAGCCAUGGAAAUAGCAGUCGAGAAAUCAAAAGAUGCAUUGCAUUGGGCAAAUCGGCUGCAAGAGAUCUCUUUCAAGUGUUAAAAAGCAAAGAUGUCACCUUGGGGGCUAGAGUGCACCUGACCCAAGCCAUGGUGUUUCCCGUGUGCAUGGGAAAGCUGGAGAAUGAAUAAGGAAGACUGAAGAAGAAUCGAAGCCUUUGAAUUGUGGUGCUGGUGAAUAAUAUUAAAUAUACCAUGGACUGCCAAAACAGCAAACAAAUCUGUCUUGGAGGAAGUACAGCCAGAAUGCUCUUGGAAGCAAGGAUGGCGAGACUUCACCUCACGUACUUUGGACAUGUUAUCAGAAGGGAUCAGCCCCUGGAGAAGGGCAUCAUGCUUGGUAAAGUAGAGGGUCAGUGAAAAAGAGGAAGACCCUCAACGAGAUGGAUUGACACGGUGUCUGCAACAAUGGGCUCAAGCAUAACAAUGAUCAUAAGGAUGGCACAGGCCCUGGCAGUGUUUCGUUCUGUUGUGCAUAUGGUCACUAUGACUCGGAACCAACUCGAUGGCCCCUAACAGCAACCUAACAACAAGGAACCAGAGAGCACCAGGGAGAUUGCAGAGGGAAGACCUCACAAUGUUGUUUAUGAAUGCUUUGGCACACUCCUAGGCUGUGCACGCAUGACUCCAACCCUAAACAACAUGCCAUAGACCUUGAGUACUGAACUAUGGGAUAGACUGCCACUCAGGUCCAAGACUGGCCACUGGAUGACACAUACCUGAGGCAGAUAGGAGUACCACUGUGAAGGCAUAGACAAUGAACUAACAUUGGAAUCACAACCCACAGGAGGCUGGGAGGAACUUGUGGCAUGAACCCAAUUUGGUUGAUUACUCGCCAAAAGAAACAAAAAAUUCAUGCAAGUUAAAACAAGAUCCAGGCUUUUAUAAUAUUCAAAUAAAACCCAAAACAACACUGCUUACAAAGAACCAGGAAAAUCUCAACUCACACAGGAAAAAACAACAUAAAAGAAACCUGUUGCGGUCAAGUCGAUUCCAAUUCCUAGUGACCCUCCAGAACAGAGUGGGACCGCCCCGUAGGGUUUCCUUACGGAAGCAGACUGCCACGUCGCUCUACUGUGGAGCAGCUGGUGGGCUUGAACCAUCAACUUCUGAGCAGCCGCGAGCUUAACUACUGCACCACCAGGGCUCCUUAGCAUUGGCGAAAAACAAGGCUCUGGGAAUUGACGGAAUACCAACUGAGAUGUUCCAACAAACAUGCAAUGAUUGUGAGUGUGGCUCAGGACCAGGCAAUGUUUUGUUCUGUUGCGCAUAGGGUCGCUAUGAGUCGGAACAGACUCAACGGCACCUAAGAACAACAACAACAAGUAUAUCAUGAAAAGUGAAUUUUAUAUAGGUAAUCUAUUGAACAAUCACUUAAAAAUUAUAAAAAGAGAUAUAGUAAACACAACAGAUAGAAUACUAUUAAAUGUUCAAACAAUGCAAAAGAAAGCAGAAAAGAAGAAACAGGAAUGAAAAAGAAGACAGAAGCAGAAAACAAAAAUAAAAUGGUAGACAUAAAUAUAAACAUCAAUAAGUACGUUAAAUAUAAAUGGUCUAAACAUAUCAAUUAAAGAUAGAAUAAUAAUAAAAGAACCCAACUCUGUGCUCUCCAGAAGAAACUCAUUUCAAAUAAAACUAUAUGGAUUAGUUAAAACCAAAAGGAUGAAAAAAAGAUACACCAUACAAAUACCAAUAAAAAGAAAGCUGGAAUGUCGCUAUUAAUAUGAGACAAAAUAAAAUUCAGAGCAAAUAUAAUUACCAAGGAUAAAGAGGGAUAUUGCAUAAUGACAAAAGGUCAAUUUACAAAGAAGAUACCUAAAAAGAGAGCUUCAAAAUUCAUGAAGCAAAAGCUGACAAACUGAAAAGAGGAAAAGGUAAAUUUGCCAUUGUAGUUGAAGAUUUGAACACUCCCGUCUUAGUAAGCGAUAGAACACAUACACAGAAAAUUAACAAAAAUAUCAGUCACUAGGUCUAUAGAACCCUCCGCCCAACAACAGCAGGAUAUAUGUUCUUUUCAAGAGCGUAUGAAAUAUGCACAUUGUCGUUAAUCGAAUUGUGUCCCCCAAAAAUGCAUGUCAAUUUGGAUAGUCCAUGAUUCCCAGUAUUGUGUGAUUGUCCACAAUUUUGUCAUCUGCUGUUAUUUUCCUGUGUGUUGUAAAUACUACGUCUAUGAUGUUAAUGAGGUGGAAUUAGAGGCAGUUAUGUUAAUGAGGCAGGACUCAAUCUACAAGAUUAGGUUGUGUCUUUUGAGAUAUAAAAGAGAGGAGCGAGCAGAGAGACAUGGGGACCUCAUACCACCAAGAAACAAGAGCCAGGAGAAUAGCGUGUCCUUUGGACCUGGGAUCCCUGCUCUGAGAAGCUCCUCCCCCAGGAAGAGACUGAUGACAAGGACCUUCCUCCACAGCUGACAGAGAGAGAAAGCCAUCCCCUGGAGCUGAUGCCCUGAAUUCAAGCUUCUAGCCCCCUAGACUGUGAAAGAAUAAAUUUCUCUUUGUUAAAGCUGUUCACUUGUGGUAUUCUAUUAUAGCAGUACUAGGUAACUAAGACACACAUAAAUAGACUACAUCUAAAGUCAUUAAAAAACCUUAACAAGUCAAAAACAAAUGAAAUGAUACAAAGUAUGUUUCUAUAAUGGAAUUAAACUAGAAACCAAUAAAGGAAAGAUAACAAGAAAAUCUCUAAACGCUUGAAAAUUAAACGGUACAUUUCUAUAAGCCAUGGGUAAAAUAGAAAAACUUAAAGGAAGUUAGAAAAUAUUUUGAACAGAAUGAAAUGGAAACAAAAGACAAAUGUAUUCUUGAGAUGGUCUCUAAAUUCAGGUAGGAUAUACUAAAGGUCGUACUUUGGCUCUUGUAGACUUGUUCUAAUUUUCUUCAGCUUCAACUUGAACUUGCGUAUGAGCAAUUGAUGGUCUGUGCCACAGUCGGCCCCUGGCCUUGUUCUGACUGAUGAUAUUGAGCUUUUCCGUCAUGUGUUUCCACAGACAUAGUCAAUUUGACUCCUGUGUGUUCCAUCUCAUGAGGUCCAUGUGUAUAGUCGCCGUUUAUGUGAAAGUAGAUAUUUGCAAUGAAGAAGUCAUUGGUCUUACAAAAUUCUAUCAUGCGAUCUCCAGCAUCAUUUCUAUCACCAAGGCCAUGUUUUCCAUCUACCAAUCCUCCUCCUUUGUUUCCAACUUUCGAAUUCCAUUUGCCAGUAAUUAUCAAUGCGUUUUUGAUCAGUUUCAAACUGCAGAAGUUUGUAAAAAUCUUCAAUUUUUUCGUCUUUGGCCUUAGUGGUUGGUUCAUAAACUUGAAUAAUACUUGUAUUAACUGGUCUUUGUAGACGUAUGGAUAUUAUCCUGUCACUGACAGCAUUGUACUUCAGGAUAGAUCUAGAAAGUACAAUUCUGGGUAAAAUUACUGAGGCCUUGCUCUGUACCCAGCAAUGUGCUAACCACUUUGCAUGGAUUAGCUAAGAGUUCUCCCAACAAGUCUGUGAGGUGGAAAAAUUGCAGAUGAAGAAAGUGAAAUUUCAAGAGGAGAGGUGGCUUACCCAAGGUUCCUCUUCAUGUUGUCAUUCCGGCAUAGCAAACUAUAUGAUUGUCUGAUUCAAAAUGGCCAGUACCAAUCCAUUUCAGCUCACUAAUGCCUAGGAUAUCAAUGUUUAUGCAUUCCAUUUCAUUUUUGAUGAUUUCUAAUUUUCCUAGAUUCAUACUUUGUACAUUCCAGGUUCUGAUUAUUAAUGGAUGUUUACAGCUGUUUCUUCUCAUUUUGAAUGGUUCUACAUCAGCAAACGAAAUGUUCUGAAAGCUUGACUCCAUCCAUGUCAUUAAGGUUGACUCUCCUUUGAGGAGGCAGCUCUUCCCCAGUCAUCUUUUGAGUGCCUUCCAACCUGAGUGGUUCAUCUUCCAGCACUGUUAUCAGGCAAUGUUCCACUGCUUUUCAGAUAUGUGGGGGCACAGACUUGGAAACCCUAUGGGGCGGUUCUACUCUGUCCUGUAGGGUCACUGUCAGUUGGAAUUGACUCAAUGGCAUGCAGCACUGGCAACCUUGGGUAAGAUGCCUGUCUUCUGGGUGGGGGGAGGUUUGAAUAAUGAGAGUGAGAAGGUAAGUCUUACAGCUGGCAGAGUGAAAUCUCAGGGUAGGAGGGGGAUUGGGAAUAUGCAGACAAAAGAAACUGGAAUUUGUGAAUAACAACUUUAUAAUAUUCCCCAGACCUAUAGUAACAUGUUGAUGUGUAGUUGGGGGCAUUCCUUUGGAAAAAUCAUUAAAUAGUGAAAACUGGAAUGAUGCCGUAUCUACAAGUGCUCCGCUUAGUGUCAGCUCAGAGUGGGUGCUCAGUAUGGGCCUGCAUGUGAUCACAGCAUUUUGAGGGAGCUGCCACUGUGUCUUUUUGGCUCUAGGCCUGUCUCAGAAGUUGGGGAAGUCCCCACACUUCCAGUGAGGCCCUCUAUAAAAGCCUCAGUUUCAGGUCCUCCAUUCGAGACAUCCUCUCAGUCAAUGUGGGAGUUUCUAGCUGUGGGUGCUCUUUUCUGUGUCAGGGCCUCUCACAUGAAAGCAGUGAGGGCUGUUGGGGCCCCUCACAUACGAUAGAACACAAGAGCAGUGAGGGCUGUCGGAGUCCAUCUCAUAAACUUGAACACAAAAUCAGUGAGAGCUGUCGGGGCCUUUUGACAGAACACAAGAGCAGUGAGGGCUGUCGGGGCCUCUCUCAUACAAUUGAACACGAAAGCGGUGAGAGCCGUCGGGGCCUCUCACAGACCAUUGAACAUGAGAGCCACUAGAGUCACAAGUCCUGGGAAGGACCCGGUGGAUCGGGCCUUGGUCUGUGUCCUCAGCAUUGCUGCCCCAAGCCUGCUCCCUAGGGGGUCCAGCAGCACCUUGACCCCCUGGAGUGGGAAGAAGAGCAGAUAUUCACACCAAGGCCUGAGGUGUUGUGUCAGAGCCUGGAAUGUAAUAAGAUUUUAGGUUGCCCACGCACAUAUUAAAAUUUGAGCAACACUGGCCUGGAGAACAACUCAGCAUUCCUUUCAGAGCUAGAAAUGGUGCUGCUCUGGUGUGGUCAUAAAAAACAAGGGCAGUUGCACAGUUACUCAAUGAGGGUCCCUUUACAAGCCCUGAAUUUUAAACCUCUGGCAGGAGGAGCAAGAGCGGUCUUUCUCCCAUACUUUGUUCCCUAGUGGCCACAUCUGGAGCCUCUCACAGGGCACAUUGAUGACUUGAAGGCCCAGUCCUUCUCUGAAUGUUCUCUUGUCUCUGGUGCCUAAAUUUCUUGUCAGAUACUGUGCAAGCUAGAAGAGAAUGGAGUGACUGAAAGAAAAAAAAAAAUUAAAACCUGUCAACCCAGAAUUCCAUACCCAGCACAAAUAGUUUUCGAAACUGAAGGCAAAAAAUUUUUUUUUUUUUUUAGAUAAACAAAAGCUUAUCUAAUUCAUUGACAGCAAACAUGUGCUAUAAGAAAUGUUAAAAGAAGUCCUUCAAGGUGCAGGAAAAUGAUACCAGGAGGAAAUUUGGAUCCACACAAAUGGAGAGCACAGUAAUAGCAGAAAUAAAUACUAAGUAUGCUUUUUUUAAAAAAAUUUUUGUGCUUUAAGUGAAAGUUUACAAAUCAAGUCAGACUCUCAUAUAAAAAUUUAUAAACACCUUGCUGUAUACUCCUAAUUGCUCUCCCCCUAAUGAGACAGCACACCCCUUCCCUCUGCUCUUUCUUUUCGUGUCUAUUCCACCAGCUUCUGACCCCCUCUACCCUCUCAUCUCUCCUUCAGACGGGAGAUGCCAACAUAGUCUCCUGUGUCUACUUGAUCCGAGAAGCUUAUUCUUCCCCAGUAUCAUUUUCUAUCCCAUGGUCCAGUCCAAUCCCUGUCUGAAGAGUUGGCUUUGGGAAUGAUUCCUGUCUUGGGCUAACAGAAGGUCUGGGGGCCAUGACCUCGGGGUCCUUCUAGUGUCAGUCAGACCAUUAAUUCUGGUCUUUUUAUAAGAAUUUUGGGUCUGCAUCCCACUGCUUUCCUGCUCACUUGGAGGUUCUCUGUUUUGUUCCCUGUCAGGGCAGUUACUGGUUGUAGCCAGGUGCCAUCUAGUUCUUCUGGUCUCAGUCUAAUGUAGUCUCUGCUUUAUGUGGCCCUUUCUGCCUCUUGCGUUCAUAAUUACCUCGUGUCUUUGGUAUUCUUCAUUCUCCUUUGCUCCAGAUGGGUUGAGACCCACUGAUGCAUCUUAGAUGGCUGCUUGCUAGCGUUUAAGACCCCAGACGCCACUCUUAAUAGUGGGAUGCGGAAUGUUUUCUUAAUAGAUUUUAUUAUGCCAAUUGACUUAGAUGUCUCCUGAAACCAUGGUCCCCAAACCCCUGCCCCUGCUACGCUGAUCUUUGAAGCAUUCAGUUUAUUCAGGAAACUUCUUUGCUUUUGGUUUAGUCCGGUUGUGCUGACCUCUCCUGUAUUGUGCGUUGUCUUUCCCUUCACCUAAAAUAGUUCUUAUCUACUAUCUAAUUCGUGAAAACCC
This is a long non-coding RNA of Loxodonta africana (African savanna elephant), 13782 nucleotides long. RefSeq lists it as uncharacterized. The record is from RefSeq and is a predicted model, not a curated record. The transcript has 3 exons. NCBI's taxonomy places the organism in Eukaryota, Metazoa, Chordata, Mammalia, Proboscidea, Elephantidae.